RNAcentral lists this ribosomal RNA (86 nucleotides) under Staphylococcus felis. RNAcentral's name for it is "partial 16S ribosomal RNA". It matches the Rfam family "Bacterial small subunit ribosomal RNA", at positions 1 to 82 of the family's 1533-position model. Lineage: Bacteria; Bacillati; Bacillota; Bacilli; Caryophanales; Staphylococcaceae. The record is from RNAcentral.
UAAUAUGGAGAGUUUGAUCCUGGCUCAGGAUGAACGCUGGCGGCGUGCCUAAUACAUGCAAGUCGAGCGAACUGAAGAGGAGCUUG